RNAcentral lists this ribosomal RNA (212 nucleotides) under uncultured bacterium. Its description in RNAcentral is "partial 16S ribosomal RNA". It matches the Rfam family "Bacterial small subunit ribosomal RNA", at positions 327 to 535 of the family's 1533-position model. The record is from RNAcentral.
GGAUCGCCCUUCCUACGGGAGGCAGCAGUAAGGAAUAUUGGUCAAUGGACGAAAGUCUGAACCAGCCAUGCCGCGUGAAGGAUGACGGCCCUCUGGGUUGUAAACUUCUUUUAUCUGGGACGAAAAAAGGGCUUUCUAGCUCACUUGACGGUACCAGAGGAAUAAGCACCGGCUAACUCCGUGCCAGCAGCCGCGGUAAUAAGGGCGAUCCC